RNAcentral lists this long non-coding RNA (1449 nucleotides) under Glycine max (soybean). RNAcentral describes it as "long non-coding RNA (GMAX_LNC000443)". Lineage: Eukaryota; Viridiplantae; Streptophyta; Magnoliopsida; Fabales; Fabaceae. The record is from RNAcentral.
UUCAUUGUUAGUUGUAAUGGAGAAAGGACAGGUGAAAAAAGAAAGGGAAAGAAGUACAAAGCUAUACUUUCUUAACGAAUAAAUUUUGUAGUGCCAAAUAGAGUUUUGUGAAUGCGACAAAUCAACUUCAUGAGUCAUUUUUCAACAAAGUAUUACAAAGGGGUCCCAUAAAGGAUGAAUCAUCACUCCUGAAUUUGGGUAUAUUCAUGCUUUCAUGUAUUGUAUCAUCAGAUUGCCAAAUCAGCAGCACUUGAUGCUGGACCCCAUCUAGCGUGGCAUUCUUUUGUGAAAAUUGGUCAGUGAUGAUGUUAUACGUGGGCCCCAUGGUCCAUGUCCUGCAUGAGAUAGCACCACAAAUUUUAGGCUAUUGCUUUUGUGUUUCUUUUCUGCCAUUCAGAAUGACCAUUCUGUAAGGCAAAAAGAGAAUACAGAAAGUAACAUGGUUGUUAUAGGAAACAAAAGCAUCCCAAAUUUUGUUAAGAGUGAUAACUUUAACUCUUACACAAAUGAAAUUAGAAAAGAAAUAACUUUAACCAUUCGCCUAACAAAGUUUAUUUUUCACUCUUUCUUGAUGGCCUUGUACAUAUCAUGCCUUCAAAAUCAAAUUGUCCACUUAGCCUCAUCAUUUUGUCUUUGAGCUAAUUAAACGUAGAGGACAAAAUAGUGCAGUAGUGUAUUGGAUCCUUUCUUGUAGAGGAUAUGAUCAUCUUAAAGUGGGAAUAGUACAAGAAAAGAAAAGCACAAAAGAAGGAUCACUACAAAUGGUUACAAGGCUCAUUAGUUAUAUGAGUUUAAUAGACAUACAUAUUAUUAAUUAAAAAAAAUUAUACCGCCAACCAAUCAAAAAUAAAUAAUUAUUUAUAUGACUUAACUUAUAAUAUGUGGUGAUUAGUAUGAUUACUUCUAGUUAAAUGAUAGAGUAAAAAACUAUUUAUACUAUGUCAUAAUAUUAUUUGGUUAGUUAUAUUUUCCUUUGCUUGUGUUUCUUUAUUAUUUUUUUUCUAAGAGGACUAUAUUAUAUUCUAUUAAUUAAGAAUGGGAGAGGAAAAAAUUCAGGUAAUUCCAUAUUCAUAUGUAAUUAAUGUGAAAACCUGUGUUGAAUGUAGGAGUUCAAACAGCAAUGACAGAGUUUAGCACAGGGAAGGUUCUUGUGACAGGAAUCAUGGAUGCAAACAAACUAGUAGAUUAUGUAUAUAGACGCACCAAAAAGCAAGCUAAGAUAGUUCCUCAGCCAGAACCAGAACCAGAAAAGAAAGAAGAGAAACCUGCAGAAGAAGAGACUAAACCUGAAGAGGAGAAGCCACCAGAGGAAGCAAAGAAAGAAGAGGGUGGUGAGAACAAAGAAGAAAAGGGUGGUGAAGAAAGCAAAGAAGAAGCCAAAAAAGAAGAGAAUAAUGUGGUGGUGGUGCCUUACAAUAACAUUGAUGAUGAAGGCUUAAAGAGGAUGAU